AUACGGCCAUAUCCCGUUGAAGCAUCGGUUCCCGUACAACAAUUGAAGUUAAGCCACGUCGAACUUGUUUAGUACCUAAAUGGGUGACCGCUUAGGAUUAUCAAGUGCUGUAA
This is a non-coding RNA of Acanthosepion pharaonis, 113 nucleotides long. The record is from the annotation of a GenBank genome assembly. Lineage: Eukaryota; Metazoa; Mollusca; Cephalopoda; Sepiida; Sepiidae.